CAGAUCUUCUUGUUCCUCUUGCGGUCCACGUCAACAGCAAUGGCGGCGCUUCCGCUUCGCCUCCUCGGCCGCCUCGGCGGCGUCGGUCGCCGUGGCCGCCUACCGCCGCCGCUCGCUGCUCUCGCGCACCUCUCUGUCCCCUCCCACCAAAGCCCUGACCGCCAGAUUCCCUCUCCUGCUCCCCCGCUCCCUUUCCCCACCCUUGUUCUCCCUUUCGCGGUGCCCGCGCGAAGCUUCUCCUGGUACUCCCGCUCCCCCUCCGGUCCCACCACAGCCGCCGCGGAGGCUCACGUUGACGAGGACGCGCGCAACGAGACUGAAAGCGUUUGCCUGGAUGAUGUGAGUGCCACUCAUUACGGGGAAGGGCUCGCCGGCGCGGCGGAUGCUGCUGUGGUAGUGGCCGACGGUGGCGAUGGAGGGGGCAUGACGGAUUUGGCUAUGGGCGCGUUGGUUGACGUCCUCGACGGAUUCCAUAGUCUCACCGGACUACCAUGGUGGAUAACAAUCUCCUUCUCAACUGUGGCCAUGCGACUAUCGAUACUCCCUGUCCUCAUGUUACAACUUCAGAAGACUGCCAAAAUUGGCCAACUAUUUCGACAAUUGCCCCCUCCAUUACCCCCUCCUCUAUCAGGAAGGAGUUUUCGUGAUCAAUACUCUCUUUUCCAGAAGAAAAGGCGAGAGCUCGGUUGCCCCUCCUUCCUUUGGAAUCUUGCCUACUUUUCAGUUCAGUUCCCUUGCUUUAUACUGUGGAUCUCAAGCAUCAGGAGUAUGUGUGUUAAUAAUCACCCUGGAUUAGAUAAUGGCGGCGUUCUGUGGUUUCAUAACUUGACCGAGUUUUCGCAUGGUGCCUUAGGCCCCGUUUUUCCUAUCUUAGUUGCUGGACUCCAUUAUUUAAAUAUGCAGAUUUCCUUCCAGACAAGCCAGACCAAGCACUAUCCUGGAGUUUUAGCCUUGCUAGCAAAGUACUACAAGAUGUACCUUGACAUUCUGUCUAUUCCCUUGUUUCUUAUCGCAUAUGUGGUCCCUCAGGGGUGCCUGAUCUACUGGACUACCAAUGGUUUAUUUACUGUAGCUCAGCAAUUGUACCUCAGACCCGGUGUUAUCCGCAAGAUGUUUGGAUUGCCUGAUAUUGGAGCUCGCGCUGGUAAUACAGCAUUUAGAUCUCCUCUCGAGGGUCAGGAGAUGAUCCAGCGGUGGCCCCGUGGAGAAUUCCGCAUGCAGUCUAGAUUAGGAUCAUCUGAUAAUGGAACUACCAGUGAGAAUAUGACUCCAAAAUUUAUGUUUGAGAGUAGUACGAUAAUGGAAGGAGAUGUAUCUGAGGCCAGCACACCUGAGGAUCUUCUCGAGCAAGCAUUACAACAUUUGGAAAAUGGCUGCCAAGAUCAAGCUAUCCCACUUAUAAGCAAUAGAGAAAAACCCAGAUCUAUCUACAUCUUUGAUUGCAAUGGCACAGACCUUCUACUCAAAAAUGUUGUUUUCUGAAGCCUCCUUGUGUUAUGAACAUGCUAUACCACAGAUGAAAGAACAGGAUCCUCUCAUUGUGCUUGCACAUUUCGGUGCAGGUCUUUCUUGUAGAAAGCAGGGUGAUAAUGAGGCCGCAAUUGAACACCUGCAAAGAUUAGCAGAGCUCAAGGAGCCAGAAUUAAUGAUGAACAAAGCAUGCUAUUUCCGUGGUAUCAUUGUUCUAGGAAGUAUACUAUCGAAUGAAGGUCGGAAAUCUGAAGCCGCCAAAUACCUGCGACUAGCUCUUGCUUAUGAUCCUGCUGCUGAGAGACUUUUGAAGGAAUGUGAGGAAGCAGUGGAAGAUCAACCAAAGUCAGCAGAACAUUGAACCACCAGACCUGAAAAAGACAAUGAGACAGGCAGAACAGAGGCAGAUGUACUGCUGUCUUUUUUUCAACAUCAACACAAAGGUUUGCUUGUCACUUCAAAUUUUGAUUUCCUAUCGACAAUUUUAUUCCAUCAUUGGAGAUUGUAAAAUAUACUCAAGAAGAAAUUUGAAGUCAGACAGUGGCAGUGAACCAAUGUACUCAAUCCCUUGGAGGUCUUGCCACUGAUGUAUUCUGAUAUAUAGGCGCUUCCAGUUUUGUAAAGUGACUGAUGUAUUCUCAUAUAUACAUGUUAUGGUAUGUUGAUGCAACAAUAUGUUCAGAUUUCUUUGAAUCUGAGAUACUGUUGGAGAUCUCAGUUCCUAUUUCGUUUGGAUUAUAUUGGCAUUGCCAGAAGAAAGUGGAGUUUGAUUGCA
Molecule: RNA transcript, 2245 nt
Organism: Brachypodium distachyon (stiff brome)
Lineage: Eukaryota; Viridiplantae; Streptophyta; Magnoliopsida; Poales; Poaceae
Gene name: ALBINO3-like protein 2, chloroplastic
Exons: 15
Source: RefSeq, a predicted model, not a curated record